AUCUUUAUUAAAAUAUUAUUGUUAUUAAAUGAUUUGUUAUUAAUUAAGGCAGCUUUUGAAGAUCUCUGAGGAGGACAAAACACAACCACAUCUUAUCAUACUUAAGGCCUACAAGAAAGCUGGAGGGGGACUCUUUGUCAGGAACUCAGUAUAGAGAGCCUAAGUAAAAGCAACAUUCCCUGCAAAGCUCAUGCAAAAUACCUUCCUGAGGUAGGAUUAGCAGUCCUUGAUGGUUCAUGGCAUUGGGCAAGAGGAUAAUUGAAGAUAUACCUGUCUUGAAUCAUCUCUCUGAUCAUCAGAUCUAGUCUCAGAUCAUUUUGGGACCUCAGGAAAUGCUUGCCAACUGGGACAAAAGUUUCAGAGAGAACUUAUACUGUAACUUAGUCAGUAUAGUAAGUUAACUUAACCUAGCUCAAAGGAUUCCAGCCUUGUAGAUAAAUAUGAUUUUACAGUAUCAGUAGAAUGGAUUCUGCUGGGAAGGACUUCAGAGAGUAAGAUUUAGGGGAAGUCUUUGAACUGAAAA
RNAcentral lists this long non-coding RNA (523 nucleotides) under Anas platyrhynchos platyrhynchos (common mallard). RNAcentral's name for it is "lncRNA (ENSAPLG00000018696.1)". The record is from RNAcentral. Lineage: Eukaryota; Metazoa; Chordata; Aves; Anseriformes; Anatidae.